GAUGAACGCUGGCGGCGUGCCUAAUACAUGCAAGUCGAGCGAACGGACGAGAAGCUUGCUUCUCUGAUGUUAGCGGCUGACGGGUGAGUAACACGUGUAUAACCUACCUAUAAGACUUGUAUAACUUCGGGAAACCGGAGCUAAUACCGGAUGAUAUUUUUAACCGCAUUGUUCAAUAGUGAAAUACGUUCUUGCUGUCACUUAUAGAUGGAUCCUCGCUGCAUUAGCUAUUUGGUAAGGUAACGGCUUACCAAGGCAACGAUGCAUAGCCGACCUGAGAGGGGGAACGGCAACACUGGAACUGAGAAACGGUCAAGAGUCCGACGGGAGGAAGCAGUAGGGAAUCUUCCGCAAUGGGCGAAAGCAUGACGGAGAAACGACGCGUGAGUGAUGAAGGUCUUCGGAUCGUAAAACUCUGUUAUUAGGGAAGAAAAUAUGUGUAAGUAAAUGUGCACAUCUUGACGGUACCUAAUCAGAAAGCCACGGCUAACUACGUG
This 497-nucleotide ribosomal RNA is filed under the name uncultured bacterium. Its description in RNAcentral is "partial 16S ribosomal RNA". It matches the Rfam family "Bacterial small subunit ribosomal RNA", at positions 28 to 507 of the family's 1533-position model. The record is from RNAcentral.